This 496-nucleotide ribosomal RNA is filed under the name uncultured bacterium. Its description in RNAcentral is "partial 16S ribosomal RNA". It matches the Rfam family "Bacterial small subunit ribosomal RNA", at positions 28 to 523 of the family's 1533-position model. The record is from RNAcentral.
GACGAACGCUGGCGGCGUGCUUAACACAUGCAAGUCGAACGAGAAUCUGUGGAAAGAGGAUUCGUCCAAUUGAAGCAGAGGACAGUGGCGGACGGGUGAGUAACGCGUGAGGAACCUGCCUUUCAGAGGGGGACAACAGUUGGAAACGACUGCUAAUACCGCAUGACACAUAGGCGUCGCAUGGCACUUAUGUCAAAGAUUUAUCGCUGAAAGAUGGCCUCGCGUCUGAUUAGCUAGUUGGUGAGGUAACGGCCCACCAAGGCGACGAUCAGUAGCCGGACUGAGAGGUUGAACGGCCACAUUGGGACUGAGAUACGGCCCAGACUCCUACGGGAGGCAGCAGUGGGGAAUAUUGGGCAAUGGGCGCAAGCCUGACCCAGCAACGCCGCGUGAAGGAAGAAGGCUUUCGGGUUGUAAACUUCUUUUGUCAGGGACGAGUAGAAGACGGUACCUGACGAAUAAGCCACGGCUAACUACGUGCCAGCAGCCGCGGUAA